This 684-nucleotide ribosomal RNA is filed under the name Triticum aestivum (bread wheat). Its description in RNAcentral is "partial small subunit ribosomal RNA". The record is from RNAcentral. Lineage: Eukaryota; Viridiplantae; Streptophyta; Magnoliopsida; Poales; Poaceae.
AUGGAUAGAUUAUUAUUAGAGCGGAAGUCUUUAUGUUCUGGGCGGCCGAGUUAUCCUUAUUUUGGCGUUCCUACAAAAAAGGAGCUGAGGUCCAAUGGUUAUCCCCUCCCAGUUUGGCAGAAUGUGGGCAUGCGUUUGCUUAACAAUUUUGAAGAGAAAUUUAGUGAAGAUAUCUGGAGUAAACUCGAAAGAAACGUUGCUUCAAAUAUGUCUCAAAGUGUUGUUGCAUUGGCUUCAUUCAGUGGAAAAACAAGGUGUUUUGCUUGCACUGGCGUAUUCAUAGACUGCAAUGGGUCCACCACAAGAGUUCUGACCUCCGCAAGUUUGGUUAGAACUUCUGACAAUGAAAACAAGGUUGCUGAUAACCUUAAGAUUGUAGUGUGCCUUCCAGAUAAUCGUCAUACCAGAGGGACAUUGCAACAUUACAGUCUACAUUAUAACAUUGCCGUAGUCUACAUCAAGAAUUUCUGCUGUACUCAGACAGCACAAAUCGAUAACCAGAUGCUAAUUAAACCUCAAAAGGAGGUAGUAGCUAUAGGGCGCGUCUACCAAUCAGGCAAAUUAAUGGCCACAAGUGGGAUCGUGAUUGACAAACCAAGUAAGCUUGGCUGCAAAGAGCUUAAGAUUUCCACCUGUAAAAUCACCAAGGUACGCUGUGUCUUUUCGUGUGGUGGAAAUAAAUAG